GAUCAUGGCUCAGGACGAACGCUGGCGGCGUGCUUAACACAUGCAAGUCGAACGAAAAGACGGAAAGAGCUUGCUCUUUCCGGAAUUGAGUGGCAAACGGGUGAGUAACACGUAAACAACCUGCCUUCAGGAUGGGGACAACAGACGGAAACGACUGCUAAUACCGAAUAAGUUCCAAGGGCCGCAUGGCCCAUGGAAGAAAAGGUGGCCUCUACCUGUAAGCUAUCGCCUGAAGAGGGGUUUGCGUCUGAUUAG
RNAcentral lists this ribosomal RNA (255 nucleotides) under uncultured bacterium. RNAcentral's name for it is "partial 16S ribosomal RNA". It matches the Rfam family "Bacterial small subunit ribosomal RNA", at positions 15 to 244 of the family's 1533-position model. The record is from RNAcentral.